UGAGCAAUCUGCCCUUCACAUCGGAAUAACCAUUGGAAACGAUGGCUAAUACCGAAUAUGACUUCGGAUCGCAUGAUCUGAAGUGGAAAGCUCCGGCGGUGAAGGAUGAGCUCGCGGCCUAUCAGCUUGUUGGUGAGGUAAUAGCUCACCAAGGCGAUGACGGGUAGCCGGCCUGAGAGGGUGACCCGGCCACACGUGGGACUGAGACACGGCAGA
RNAcentral lists this ribosomal RNA (216 nucleotides) under uncultured bacterium. RNAcentral's name for it is "partial 16S ribosomal RNA". It matches the Rfam family "Bacterial small subunit ribosomal RNA", at positions 118 to 335 of the family's 1533-position model. The record is from RNAcentral.